UGACAGUACUCCCACGGGGAGGCAGCAGUGGGGAAUAUUGCACAAUGGGGGAAACCCUGAUGCAGCCAUGCCGCGUGUGUGAAGAAGGCCUUCGGGUUGUAAAGCACUUUCAGUAGGGAGGAAGGUAGUGUAGUUAACACCUGCAUUAUUUGACGUUACCUACAGAAGAAGCACCGGCUAACUCCGUGCCAGCAGCCGCGGUAAUACGGAGGGUGCGAGCGUUAAUCGGAAUUACUGGGCGUAAAGCGCAUGCAGGCGGCCUGUUAAGUCAGAUGUGAAAGCCCGGGGCUUAACCUCGGAAUUGCAUUUGAAACUGGCAGGCUAGAGUCUUGUAGAGGGGGGUAGGAAUUUCAGGUGUAGCGGUGAAAUGCGUAGAGAUCUGAAGGAAUACCAGUGGCGAAGGCGGCCCCCUGGACAAAGACUGACGCUCAGAUGCGAAAGCGUGGGGAGCAAACAGGAUUAGAUACCCUGGUAG
Molecule: ribosomal RNA, 475 nt
Filed under: uncultured bacterium
Lineage: Bacteria
Description: bacterial SSU rRNA
Rfam family: Bacterial small subunit ribosomal RNA
Source: RNAcentral